GAUGAACGCUGGCGGCGUGCCUAAUACAUGCAAGUCGAGCGAACGGACGAUAAGCUUGCUUCUCUGAUGUUAGCGGCGGACGGGUGAGUAACACGUGGAUAACCUACCUAUAAGACUGGGACAACUUCGGGAAACCGGAUCUAAUACCGGAUAAUAUUUUGUACCGCAUGGUUCAAAAGUAAAAGACGGUCUUGCUGUCACUUAUAGAUGGAUCCGCGCUGCAUUAGCUAGUUGGUAAGGUAACGGCUUACCAAGGCAACGAUGCAUAGCCGACCUGAGAGGGUGAUCGGCCACACUGGAACUGAGACACGGUCCAGACUCCUACGGGAGGCAGCAGUAGGGAAUCUUCCGCAAUGGGCGAAAGCCUGACGGAGCAACGCCGCGUGAGUGAUGAAGGUCUUCGGAUCGUAAAACUCUGUUAUUAGGGAAGAACAUAUGUGUAAGUAACUGUGCACAUCUUGACGGUACCUAAUCAGAAAGCCACGGCUAACUACGUG
Molecule: ribosomal RNA, 497 nt
Filed under: uncultured bacterium
Lineage: Bacteria
Description: partial 16S ribosomal RNA
Rfam family: Bacterial small subunit ribosomal RNA
Source: RNAcentral